CUGAUCUACACACAAAAGUAGCAGGACCCUGC
This 32-nucleotide non-coding RNA is filed under the name Homo sapiens (human). The record is from RNAcentral. Lineage: Eukaryota; Metazoa; Chordata; Mammalia; Primates; Hominidae.